UACAGAGACUGCAAGCGUUACUCGAAUUCACUGGGCGUAAAGGGAGCGCAGGCGGACCGGUGUGUCAGAUGUGAAACCCCAGGGCUCAACCCUGGGACUGCGUCUGAAACUGCCGGUCUAGGGACUCGGAGGGGCUAGUGGAAUUCCUGGUGGAGCAGUGAAAUGCGUAGAUAUCAGGAGGAACACCAACGGCGAAGGCAGCUAGCUGGACGAGAUCCGACGCUCAGGCUCGAAAGUAUGGGGAGCAAAAAGG
RNAcentral lists this ribosomal RNA (253 nucleotides) under uncultured bacterium. Its description in RNAcentral is "partial 16S ribosomal RNA". It matches the Rfam family "Bacterial small subunit ribosomal RNA", at positions 524 to 776 of the family's 1533-position model. The record is from RNAcentral.